AAAUAGUCUUUAUUUUCAACAUCCAAAUAAACAAAUCAAAAAUGGCGUUUCAACUUCAACAAUGUUCUUGUUAGGUCAUUAAAUAAAUCAGGAAAAAAGUUCAUACAGCUAGUAAGCUACCAUCAACAUACACAGGACUGUCCCUUUGAUUGGACUUGAUUGGCAUUUUUGAAAGAUGUAGGACAAUGGGAGUUUCUUAGUUGCAACCUCCUCCUCUCCUCAAAACCUCUAAAAAGAAAAUGUUGGGUUUUAAGGUUGGGUGAAAAGAAAAGAGAGAACCUGAGGAGUAAGGAAGGUGGUUUCUUAUCAAUAAAAAUGUCUAAUUUAGAUUAUCGGUUGGAAUGCCCCUUUAAAGUAACUGCCUGGUUAAUUCACAGCUGUACAAUGUUGUUAACUUCUCCAUUACUCGUAUUUAUGGCCAGCAAAAAAAAAAAGGGAGGGAAAAAAUAACACAGCCCAUGUCAAACCUCAUGCAUCUCAAACAGAGAAGUAAAAAAUAUAUAUAUAUUAAAACUUUUCCUCAUAGAUAAUGUCUAAAUCUAAGAGAGCUGGCCAAUAAGCAGUCUACUUGCAUAAUAAUGUUUAGGAACAGUAUACAUCCACUGUCUGACAUAAUUAACACAGGAAGUUAAACUCAUAACUGUAAUCCAUUACAGGUCUUCAUAUCAAUGUGAAAAUACAAGGCAGUUUUUUCAUGCAUUUAUGGAAAUGGUAGCCAAUGACUUUGGAUUAUAUGGUUUGAUAGAAUGUUAGCUAUACGGACGGGAAAGACAUUACCCGAAGGAUGUGAAAAAGUAUGUUAACUCCCAGAAGUUUUUUUUGUUUUUACAUAUUUGGAAACAAGGAUAUUUAAGCUAUAUUCCAAACAUUCAUUAAUAAAAGAAAAAAAAUCAACUUUGAAGCCAAUUAUGCAAUUAGAAUAAACUGAAAAACUAAUUAUGUGGAAGCAGUUAGUGCACACCUUGUGCCAUCACAAUUAGGUACACCCAAAGUUUAGAAAAUCAUUAGCGGGUCCAGCCUACCUUAAAGAUAAGAAACGUUGGUCUGGUUUGGUAAUUACCAUAUGGGUGUGUGGUGACACAUAAUGCCAAGCUCAAACAACCCAUCCAAAGCCCUCAGAUGAAAGAAUAUUGAGGCCCAUGAGUCUGGGAGGGGUUACAAAGACAUUUCUGUGAAAUUUCCACAGAACUCCAACUGUCCCACAUAUUUUCAAAUGGAGAAAAGUCCAGACCACUGGCAAUUUACACAGGACAUAGUUUCACCAAAUUCAUGCCAAAACCUGAUGGAAAAGUUGCUUGUAGUCUGUAAAAACUCCAGGGUAAAACAAUGAAGCAAGAGAGGCCUGUAUAUCCAAAGUGCACCUUUACUGUCAAACAGUGUUAAAGAGAAGAUUUCAUAUCCAAAUUCCUAAACAUGAAAAAAAGACAACAUUGCAGGGGAUACACUUAAAUAUAUUCACAACUGUAUAUAUUUUAGUGACUCAUUAACAUGUAAUGUCCACGUAUAUUAUACUUAAAUUUAGCAGUUUAACUUUCCAAAGAGGACCUUAACCUCCUAGUAGUAAAAUUACGUUUUGUUCUCGCUUCUGUUCGAGGACAGUUAAAGAGAAAGAAAAAAACAGGGAGUGGUUAUGGUAAGGGUGCCAGUUAUUGACUGGUCACCCGGCUAAAGAGCAGAGAGGAAAAAGCAGGAGUCAAUGUCCAAUCGUUGUUCAUUCUUCAAGCAUGUCUGUGUUAGAUGGUUCCUAGCCAUAAAGAACCCCCAAGGCUGGCCAGUUAAGCUCCACAUCGUUGGUUUAAAUCCUCAUCAGUUACAUCCCAGUCCCCUUAAAUUGCUUCCUUUCCUUGUUUCCUUUCCUUUAGGACAUACCGCCAAAGGGUCAUUGUAAAGGGUAUAAUUCCACCAUAUUACUCAUACAAUAAAUUCCUUCCCUUUAAAUCCAUUCCUUCUGCUUCCCGCUGAAGUAUGCACACUACAGCAACAAUUAGCACUGGGCUCUUGUGUCAUUUCGCAUUCAGCGGUUUAGAAGAAAAGGAAUCAAGAAAAGGAAGCUUUUUAAGACAGUUGGCAUACAGACAAGUACAGACAGCGGAGUGCGCUGAGGUGGCCUUCGUUAUCCCAGCAUUGCCUGUUAUUGGCCAUGGCAGAGUUCUAAGAGGGGUUGGGGAGGAGCUACUGGCCAGGCUCAAAUAUCAGUUCACAGGUCAGUAGCUUGGGAAAAAAAGAGACCAAUUUUUGGUCCACUGAUGUCCCAUGAAUUGUCUGCUUGCUUCCCUACUCUUUGUCCCCUGCUUCAGACUGAGAUGAAGACUCUGAUGGGGCCUGGCCCUUCCCAGCAUCCUCUCCUUCACCUGAGAGAGACAGACAGACAAACAGAGAGACAGGUAGCGAGAAAGAGAGGGGAAAUAAAGGAAAUAAUAAAAUUAAUGAUUACU
Long non-coding RNA from Esox lucius (northern pike), 2435 nucleotides. The record is from Ensembl. Lineage: Eukaryota; Metazoa; Chordata; Actinopteri; Esociformes; Esocidae.